GUAGCGAAAUUCCUUGUCGGGUAAGUUCCGACCUGCACGAAUGGCGUAACGACGGCCACACUGUCUCCACCCGAGACUCAGUGAAAUUGAAAUCGCUGUUAAGAUGCAGUGUACCCGCGGCUAGACGGAAAGACCCCGUGAACCUUUACUAUAGCUUCACACUGGACUUUGACCUUACUUGUGUAGGAUAGGUGGGAGACUUUGAAGCGUGAUCGCUAGAUUGCGUGGAGUCACCCUUGAAAUACCACCCUGGUAAUGUUGAGGUUCUAACUUGGCUCCUGAAACGGGAGUGAGGACAGUGUGUGGUGGGUAGUUUGACUGGGGCGGUCUCCUCCUAAAGAGUAACGGAGGAGCACGAAGGUACCCUAAGGACGGUCGGAAAUCGUCAGUUUAGUGUAAUGGCAUAAGGGUGCUUGACUGCGAGAGUGACAAUUCGAGCAGGUACGAAAGUAGGUCAUAGUGAUCCGGUGGUUCUGAAUGGAAGGGCCAUCGCUCAACGGAUAAAAGGUACUCCGGGGAUAACAGGCUGAUACCGCCCAAGAGUUCACAUCGACGGCGGUGUUUGGCACCUCGAUGUCGGCUCAUCACAUCCUGGGGCUGAAGCCGGUCCCAAGGGUAUGGCUGUUCGCCAUUUAAAGUGGUACGCGAGCUGGGUUUAGAACGUCGUGAGACAGUUCGGUCCCUAUCUGCCGUGGGCGCAGGAGAUUUGAGAAGAGUUGCUCCUAGUACGAGAGGACCGGAGUGAACGAACCUCUGGUGUUCGGGUUGUGUCGCCAGACGCAUUGCCCGGUAGCUACGUUCGGACAGGAUAACCGCUGAAAGCAUCUAAGCGGGAAGCCCCCUUCAAGACGAGAUCUCCCUGAGGACUUGAUCCUCCUAAAGUGCCGUUGAAGACGACGACGUUGAUAGGCUGGGUGUGUAAGUACAGUGAUGUAUUGAGCUAACCAGUACUAAUUGCACGUGAGGCUUGACCAU
Molecule: ribosomal RNA, 975 nt
Filed under: seawater metagenome
Description: bacterial LSU rRNA
Rfam family: Bacterial large subunit ribosomal RNA
Source: RNAcentral